This 300-nucleotide unclassified non-coding RNA is filed under the name uncultured Dothideomycetes. Its description in RNAcentral is "sequence contains 5.8S rRNA gene, ITS2". The stretch from base 1 to 77 matches the Rfam family "5.8S ribosomal RNA", at positions 77 to 154 of the family's 154-position model. Lineage: Eukaryota; Fungi; Ascomycota; Dothideomycetes. The record is from RNAcentral.
GGACAGGUGAAUCAUCGAAUCUUUGAACGCACAUUGCGCUCCCUGGUAUUCCGGGGAGCAUGCCUGUUCGAGCGUCAUUACACCACUCAAGCACUGCUUGGUAUUAGGCCAUCGUCCCCCGCAAGGUGGGCGUGCCUCAAACACCUCGGCGGAGCCUCACCGGCUUUGGGCGUAGUAGAAUUUCUCAACGUCUUAUAAGUACCGGUCUGACUCUUUUGCCGCUAAACACCAAACUUUUAAAGGUUGACCUCGGAUCAGGUAGGGAUACCCGCUGAACUUAAGCAUAUCAAUAAGCGGAGG